GAAGGCACAACAAGAAGGCAUCAUCUGCAAGCCAAAAGGAGAGGGGUUAUAGAAGAAACCAACCCUUUCAGCACCUUGAUCUUCGACUUCUUCCUCCAGAACUGUUAUAUUCCAUGUACAAUGUGAACAACUGUAGUUUCCUGUGGCCUGGAAAACAAGGUCUUCUUGAUUGCAAAAAGGCCGUAAGAGAGCAUACAAACUCAACUUUACUGCAUUCAGCGGGCAACUUCUGUUUGAGAAAAAUGAACGCAGAAUACCAACCAGGGCCUGUUUCCCACAGACAACAAUGAUGCCAGUUGUUCUGAAGCUCCUAUGUGAGGAUUAUAAAUCUGUGCUUUGAAUUCUUCUAUAUCAUUGAAGGUAGAUGUAGAUAAUUCUUCCUGGACAUUUCCAUCAGCAGCAUCCAGCAAAGCAUGAUGAUAGUUAUCCAAAUGUAACAGAUAUGACAGGUCCCUAUUCAAAUUUAUUUUUUCUUUUGCUAUUGUAGAUAAAAUUUUGCGGGCCAUCCUCCUGGUAAAAUGACAUGCUUUUCAAUUCCAGACAUUAUAGUAGAAGCCAUAGAGAAAAGCCUCCUAUGGUUUUGCUUAUUUAUUUUCUGGUGGCUCUGGAGUUGUCAUCAUUUGAGAAAAAAAGAAAAAGACCCUUGAUCUGAGCUUUUUGAUGGACAAGAUGUUGCCUUUAUUUUUCACUCCUUUGGCAACUGACACUGUGUCUUAUUUUCUUCUUAACUCAUCUGUAUUGUGUAUUCUUAUGUUGCCAGAAAAAAAAGAAAAAAAAUGACAGAGUAAAAAAAUAAAACCCUAAUUCUUGAAUAUUUUAAGAAAUUAAAUUGUUCUUUGGAUAUGUGAAAAUAAUUCAGAACCCUAUUACUAAACACACAUCUUAGUAAAUAAACACCUUACCUUGAGUUUAGUAAACAAAUGUUCCAUGGAUUUGAAAACUAGAGAUUUUUUUGACAGAAGAGUGUAGACAGCAGAUAAUGCAAAAAUUUAAAAAAAAAUCCCUUUUUGGAUUAACAAAUCUUUUAUAUUUGUUGCUUUUUAUUAGUUUAUUUUUUCAAUAUAUCACAGUUACCUUUGGGGAUGGAUAUAUACAUAUACACACAUAUGUGUGAGUGUGUGUGUAUAUAUAUAUGUCAUAUCUUGGUCAUUUUUAAGAGAAUAGCAUGGAAAGUGUACAUCACUUAUAUUUUGUUUGUUUAGAUCUGAUUUUAUAGAUCACUUAGAUGCAUUUAAUCAAAUUGGAAUUCACUUGCUAUUUUGAAGAACUAGGGAACCACAGGAGAAAUUGUUUAGACUUACGCAUUCCUUUAACAUUUCUAAUAUACUCUAUAUCCCUUAUUUACCACUAUUAAGAUAAUUCAAGUCCUAUUUCUUGGUGAUAUAAAAGGACCUACAAGGAUUUACUAAGAUUAAAAGUUCAUAGAUGUUGACAUUGUCCUUCUUAGCUUUUUAAAAAUAAUUCUUUUUAAACAUAUCUUCUACGUUGUAUAAUUCAUGGUUUCCAGCUUUGUGAGUUACAUAUCCAUCACAAUGAAUCUAUGUUAGAACAUCUCCACCACGGCAUUAUGAGCCCUCAUACACAUUUAGUGUUAAUUCACAGUCCCUCCCCCUCCACCCAGCAGCUGGCAAUCUGAUUUCUGUCUUCAUAGCUUUAUC
Non-coding RNA from Heterocephalus glaber (naked mole-rat), 1658 nucleotides. NCBI's taxonomy places the organism in Eukaryota, Metazoa, Chordata, Mammalia, Rodentia, Bathyergidae. The record is from RefSeq and is a predicted model, not a curated record.